GGAAGACUCAUGGCUCAGUGGUCGAGCACCUGCUCUGCAUGCAGAAGGCCUCAGGUUCGGUUCCUGGCAUCUUCCU
This is a non-coding RNA of Podarcis lilfordi (Lilford's wall lizard), 76 nucleotides long. The record is from the annotation of a GenBank genome assembly. NCBI's taxonomy places the organism in Eukaryota, Metazoa, Chordata, Lepidosauria, Squamata, Lacertidae.